AACACACACACGCGCACACACACACAAACACACAUACACAGAGCCCGAUCCAAAUCGUGUUCCUGUCCAAGCCCAGUCCCGUGUCUCUGACCUGGGCCUCGAUGGUUUCCACAUGUGGGGAGGAGACAGCUCCAUGGAGCCCGACAUCGUUCAGGGAUUCAACUAAUGAUGUGUGGAGUGCAGUGGUCUGAAGAGCAGCCGUGACAACCGUGCAGUGGUCUGAAUAGGAGCCAUGACAACCGUGCGGUGGUCUGAAUUGGAGCCAUGACAACCGUGCGGUGGUAGAAAUAGGUGCUGUGACCACCGUGCGGUGGACUGAAGAGCCGUGACAACCAGCAGUGGUCUGAAUAGGAGCCAUGACAACCAUGCGGUGGUCUGAAUAGCAGCCGUGACAACUGUAUGGUGGUCUGAAGGGGAGCCAUGAACAGAGAAACACACUUUCUGUGACUGACUGUAUGCUUUCUCAUCGACGCUUGUGAAGACAAUUAUUUACAGGUUAGUGAACAGCUACUCUACAGGUUUUACAAGUUAGUGAACAGCUACUCCACAGGUUUAACAAGUUAGUGAACAGCUACCCUACAGGUUUUACAAGUUAGUGAACAGCUACUCUACAGGUUUUGACAUGAACAAGUCUAAAUGUUGAUUCCAUUGAUUCUAACUGAGAUAUGUGGAGUGCAGUGGUCUGAAGAGGAGCCGUGACAACCGUACGGUGGUCUGAAUUGGAGCCAUGGCAACCGUGCGGUGGUCUGAAUAGGAGCCAUGACAACCGUGCGGUGGUCUGAAUAGGAGCCAUGACAACCGUGCGGUGGUCUGAAUUGGAGCCAUGGCAACCGUGCGGUGGUCUGAAUAGGAGCCAUGACAACCGUGCGGUGGUCUGACGAGGAGCCAUGACAACCAUGCGGUGGUCUGAAUAGGAGCCAUGACAACCGUGCGGUGGUCUGAAUAGGAGCCAUGACAACCGUGCGGUGGUCUGAAUAGGUGCUGUGACCACCAUGCGGUGGUCUGAAUAGGAGCCAUGACAACCGUGCGGUGGUCUGAAUAGGAGCCAUGACAACCGUGCUGCUACACUUUCUAUGACUGACUGUAUGCUUUCUCAUGGAAGCUUGUGAAGACAAUUAUUUACAGGUUAGUGAACAGCUACUCCACAGGUUUAACAAGUUAGUGAACAGCUACUCUACAGGUUUUACAAGUUAGUGAGCAGCUACUCUACAGGUUUUACAAGUUAGUGAACAGCUACUCUACAGGUUUAAUAAGUUAGUGAACAGCUACUCUACAGGUUUUGACAUGAACAAGUCUAAAUGUUGAUUCCAUUGAUUCUAACUGAGAUGUGUGGAGUGCAGUGGUCUGAAGAGGAGCCGUGACAACCGUGCGGUGUUCUGAAUAGGAGCCAUGACAACCGUGCGGUGGUCUGAAUAGGAGCCGUGACAACCGUGCGGUGGUCUGAAUAGGAGCCAUGACAACCGUGCGGUGUUCUGAAUAGGAGCCAUGACAACCGUGCGGUGUUCUGAAUAGGAGCCAUGACAACCGUGCGGUGGUCUGAAUAAGAGCAAUGACAACCGUGCGGUGGUCUGAAUAGGUGGUGUGAUCACCGUGCGGUGGUCUGAAUAGGAGCCAUGACAACCGUGCGGUGGUCUGAAUAGCAGCCAUGACAACUGUGCGGUGGUCUGAAGGGGAGCCGUGACAACUGUGCGGUGGUCUGAAGGGGAGCCAUGACAACUGUACGGUGGUCUGAAGGGGAGCCAUGACAACUGUACGGUGGUCUGAAGGGGAGCCAUGAACAGAGAAACACACUUUCUGUGACUGACUGUAUGCUUUCUCAUCGACGCUUGUGAAGACAAUUAUUUACAGCUGAGAUGUGUGGAGUGCAGUGGUCUGACGAGGAGCCGUGACAACCGUGCGGGGGUCUGAAUAGGAGCCGUGACAACCGUGCGGUGGUCUGAAGAGGAGCCGUGACAACCGUGCGGUCUUCUGAAUAGGAGCCAUGACAACCGUGCGGUGGUCUGAAUAGGAGCCGUGACAACCGUGCGGUGUUCUGAAUAGGAGCCGUGACAACCGUGCGGUGGUCUGAAUAGGAGCCGUGACAACCGUGCGGUGGUCUGAAUAGGAGCCGUGACAACCGUGCGGUGGUCUGAAUAGGAGCCGUGACAACCGUGCGGUGGUCUGAAUAGGAACCGUGACAACCGUGCGGUGGUCUGAAUAGGAGCCGUGACAACCGUGCGGUGGUCUGAAGCGGAGCCGUGACAACCGUGCGGUGUUCUGAAUAGGAGCCAUGACAACCGUGCGGUGGUCUGACUAGGAGCCGUGACAACCGUGAAUAUUCUCUCUUUUUCUUUCCUUUUUCUCUCAUUCUCUCUCUGUUUCAUACAAAACACACACACACACAAUCCCCCCCAUGACACAGACACAAACACGACACACACACAGUGGGCCCUCCCCACACAAGCCUCCUCUGUGGGCCAGCAUUUAACUGCAGACACAUAACACGCUCUGGAGCCUCUCCAGGUUCCGACCGAGAACGGACCAAUUAACAAGCAGGCCACAGCAGAGCCAAGUGGCCAGCAGUAAUCAGAGACAAGGAGGAGGGAGGGGACAAGAAAGACUGUCAUUUGUGUGUGUGUAUGUGUGUGUCAUUCACCACAUUCCCAGGAUGAAAUUUAAUCCCUCAGAGCCAGAGAGAAGUCGUUUUAAAGCGUUUUAAUAACCCCCAGAACCAGAACCUUGGGCUUGAAGAGAAUUUUAAUGAAUGCCAUGUUAUUUUCAGCUGUCUAAUGUCAAACAGACAAUCUUGUUUAUGAUGUAUUGUAUAUGGUAUUUUAUUACUGUUGUGGUCUUUUUCAGCUGUCUAAAGUCAAAAAGACAACAUUGUUUAUGAUGUAUUGUAUAUGGUAUUUUAUUACUGUUGUGGUCUUUUUCAGCUGUCUAAUGUCAAACAGACAAUCUUGUUUAUGAUGUAUUGUAUAUGGUAUUUUAUUACUGUUGUGGUCUUUUUCAGCUGUCUAAAGUCAAAAAGACAACAUUGUUUAUGAUGUAUUGUAUAUGGUAUUUUAUUACUGUUGUGGUCUUUUUCAGCUGUCUAAAGUCAAACAGACAACCUUGUUUAUGAUGUAUUGUAUAUGGUAUUUUAUUACUGUUGUGGUCUUUUUCAGCUGUCUAAAGUCAAAAAGACAACAUUGUUUAUGAUGUAUUGUAUAUGGUAUU
Salvelinus namaycush (lake trout) is the source of this 3198-nucleotide long non-coding RNA. RefSeq lists it as uncharacterized. The record is from RefSeq and is a predicted model, not a curated record. NCBI's taxonomy places the organism in Eukaryota, Metazoa, Chordata, Actinopteri, Salmoniformes, Salmonidae. The transcript has 3 exons.